CUGACGUUAGCGGCGGACGGGUGAGUAACACGUGGGUAACCUACCUAUAAGACUGGGAUAACUCCGGGAAACCGGGGCUAAUACCGGAUAACACAUGAAACCGCAUGGUUUCAUGAUUAAAGACGGUUUUGCUGUCACUUAUAGAUGGACCCGCGGCGUAUUAGCUAGUUGGUAAGGUAACGGCUUACCAAGGCAACGAUACGUAGCCGACCUGAGAGGGUGAUCGGCCACACUGGAACUGAGACACGGUCCAG
This 254-nucleotide ribosomal RNA is filed under the name uncultured Staphylococcus sp. Its description in RNAcentral is "partial 16S ribosomal RNA". It matches the Rfam family "Bacterial small subunit ribosomal RNA", at positions 86 to 334 of the family's 1533-position model. The record is from RNAcentral. Lineage: Bacteria; Bacillati; Bacillota; Bacilli; Caryophanales; Staphylococcaceae.